UCGGAAUGUAACAGGGGCUCCGGUGCGCCAAAGUCAAGCCCAGCUUUUCUGUACUAUCCGGCUUGUAAACUGCUGGGAACACGGUCUUGCCCCGCCUAAAAUGAUUUACAUAGUCCGGCCCAUCAGAGAACCUUUGAGAAUCUGGCCCUGCCCAACCAGCCAAUUAACACUCCUGCGCUCCUCACCUCGUGGUCCAGACUGAAUUGUAAUCCGGCUUAAACUGGGGUCUCUCCUGGCCUUGGAGGCUACCUCUCUGA
This 257-nucleotide long non-coding RNA is filed under the name Rattus norvegicus (Norway rat). Its description in RNAcentral is "long non-coding RNA NONRATT000339". Lineage: Eukaryota; Metazoa; Chordata; Mammalia; Rodentia; Muridae. The record is from RNAcentral.